This 232-nucleotide ribosomal RNA is filed under the name uncultured bacterium. RNAcentral describes it as "partial 16S ribosomal RNA". It matches the Rfam family "Bacterial small subunit ribosomal RNA", at positions 99 to 334 of the family's 1533-position model. The record is from RNAcentral.
CGGACGGGUGAGUAAUGUCUGGGAAACUGCCUGAUGGAGGGGGGUAACUACUGGAAACGGUAGCUAAUACCACAUAACGUCGCAAGACCAAAGAGGGGGACCUUAGGGCCUCUUGCCAUCGGAUGUGCCCAGAUGGGAUUAGCUAGUAGGUGGGGUAACGGCUCACCUAGGCGACGAUCCCUAGCUGGUCUGAGAGGAUGACCAGCCACACUGGAACUGAGACACGGUCCAG